Molecule: long non-coding RNA, 1834 nt
Filed under: Gossypium barbadense (sea-island cotton)
Lineage: Eukaryota; Viridiplantae; Streptophyta; Magnoliopsida; Malvales; Malvaceae
Description: long non-coding RNA (GBAR_LNC017520)
Source: RNAcentral
CCACAUUACCAAAAGAAAAUAUACAUCACCAAAAUUUGCUGAAGUCGGGUCUGGUUUUGGAUGCUGGUUCAGUACUUGACUUCUACAACUUGCGCAUGGAAACAACCGUACGCUGAGUAUUUCAUACUCAGUGGUAUUAUUAUAAAUUAAACUAUUUAAUAAUAAUAAAAUUUCAAACAUCAAUCAUAAGCUUUAUAAAUCACUUAAACUAAAUAUACAUAUUUAUAUAUCACUUCAUAAGUCUUAAAUUCAUAUAUAUAUAUAUAUAUAUAUAUAUAUUACAUACUAAUUCAAUUCAUAAUUUAACUCAUACAUUCUUUCUCGUACUUUUCAAUAGUGCCAAAUCAAUCAAUUUCAUUUUCAAUUUUUCAUUUCAAUUAUUUACCCUAUUAACAAGCUUCGGACUCUGACAGAUACGCGGAUUCCACCCAAACACACCAGAAUAUCCAACCUAAACACAACCGGAAUAAUAUAAAUCCUCCAUAACACACCAGUAUAUCAUAUCCUCCCAAACACACCAAUAAGGCAUUAGAUGCAUCUUCGGAUAAACCGAAGCAUAUAAUAACAGAAUCAUCUUCUCGGCCGAACUACAAAUCUCCUCAUCAUAUCAUAAAUCCUAUGGCAUGCCAUUUGUAUCCAAUCUAGUCCGAUAAGUUAAUAGGGUAUUAUUUUACUUUUCUAAUUUCGAAUUCAUUUUCACAACAAUUUCAAAUAUUCAAACAAUUCAAAACAUCUAUUAUUUCAAUUCACAUAUAAUUCAAUAUUCACACAUAUUAUUACUUAAUUUCAAAUGUUAUUACUUACCUUACUUUAAAUGUCCCAUGAUUACAAUUUCAAUGUAGCAUUUAGUAAAUAGUUUAAGUUAUAGUAAUACAAAUCCGGAAUACGCGUUUACUCCUCAACGAUCUUUUCUUUUCCUUUAGAUGCCGACGCCUCAUUUUCCUUGUUAGCUACGAAAAUAGUAAAAUUUUUCACUAUUAAUUACAACAUUAAAAAAAAUUUAAAUUUUAUUCAAUUCCUACUUAUUCCCAAUUUAAUUCUAACCAAGCUUACUUACUUUUCUAACUUAAUUCAUACUUCUUUUCUACUUAAUUUCUUGCCAUAUUUAACUCAAUUAUUCAAUAUUCAUAAUUAAACCCUAAUUUAAGACUUUUUAUAACUUAAUCCCAACUAUGUAAAACUUAUAACUUAGUUUACAAUUCAAUCUUUUUAUCUAUUCUAACUAGAAAUUCUAUCAACUAAACCCCUAAUUUAACAACUUAUUCAAAAUGAAUCGUGUUCAAAAACCUAUGAACUUCCAUAACCUCCACUUAAUUUCAACAAAACUUUGUUUUAAAGCUUCUAAAACAUCAAAAUUAAGAGAAAAUGGCUAAAUUUAGCUUACCAAUUAAACUUGAAGCUUUAAAAUCCCAAUUUUCCCCUUUUCCUUUCUUUCCCUUUUUUUCUUCCGCUGUUUUCGUCUUUUUCUCUGUUUCUUUUCUGUUCUUCUUUUGUUUCUUUGUCUUUUUAUUUUACUUACUUUACUUUAUUUAUUUUAUUUUAACUAAUAACAAUAAUAAUUAAUAAUAUAUUAUAUAAAAAAAUAUUUUACUUAUUAUUUAAGCAUACAUUUAUUUUUAUUUUAAGUGUACCUAUAUAAUUAUUACUAUUACACUUGUCUUUAAUCUUUACCAUACAUUUGUCAUCUAUUUAGUUUAUUUAAUAUAAUAUAAUUAUUACUAUUACAGUUAUGCCGCCCCAUUUAUUUUUAAUGGCUUAAUUGUCAUUUUAGUCCUUUUUAUUUUCUAUUAAUCUAUAAUUCAACUUUUACCCCUAGUUCAAUUUAGUCUUUUUU